RNAcentral lists this unclassified non-coding RNA (304 nucleotides) under plant metagenome. Its description in RNAcentral is "partial contains 5.8S ribosomal RNA, internal transcribed spacer 2, and large subunit ribosomal RNA". The stretch from base 1 to 104 matches the Rfam family "5.8S ribosomal RNA", at positions 51 to 154 of the family's 154-position model. The record is from RNAcentral.
AAAUGCGAUAAGUAAUGUGAAUUGCAGAAUUCAGUGAAUCAUCGAAUCUUUGAACGCACCUUGCGCCCGCCAGUAUUCUGGCGGGCAUGCCUGUUCGAGCGUCAUUUCAACCAUCAAGCCCCCGGCUUGUGUUGGGGACCUGCGGCUGCCCGCAGGCCCUGAAAAACAGUGGCGGGCUCGCUGUCACACCGAGCGUAGUAGCAUACAUUCUCGCUCAGGGCGUGCUGCGGGUUCCGGCCGUUAAACGACCUUCAUAACCCAAGGUUGACCUCGGAUCAGGUAGGAAGACCCGCUGAACUUAAGC